GUGGGGAAUAUUGGGCAAUGGGCGAAAGCCUGACCCAGCAACGCCGCGUGAGGGAAGAAGGCCUUCGGGUUGUAAACCUCUGUCCUUGGUGACGAAAAAAAUGACGGUAGCCAAGGAGGAAGCCCCGGCUAACUACGUGCCAGCAGCCGCGGUAAUACGUAGGGGGCGAGCGUUGUCCGGAAUUACUGGGCGUAAAGGGUGCGUAGGUGGCCUUUUAAGUUGGAUGUGAAAUACCCGGGCUUAACUUGGGGGGUGCAUCUAAUACUGGAGGGCUAGAGUGCAGGAGAGGGAAGCGGAAUUCCUAGUGUAGCGGUGAAAUGCGUAGAUAUUAGGAGGAACACCAGUGGCGAAGGCGGCUCACUGGCUCGAUACUGACGCUGAGGUGCGAAAGCGUGGGGAGCAAACAGGAUUAGAAACCCGGGUAGUCC
This 428-nucleotide ribosomal RNA is filed under the name uncultured bacterium. RNAcentral's name for it is "partial 16S ribosomal RNA". It matches the Rfam family "Bacterial small subunit ribosomal RNA", at positions 354 to 796 of the family's 1533-position model. The record is from RNAcentral.